CGCCGUUACUCUGGAAAAAUCACUCCAAAACCCUCAUUAAAAAGCUCCGUUUUGAACUUGUUGAGAUUUUCACACCGAAGCUCAACAAGCUCGAGCUAGACCCCUGCUAAACCAAAGCAAUCACUACAUCAGUAAUAAGCGAAGGAAAAGAAGAACGUCAGGGAGAGGAUCCCAGGAGAAGAAAAACAAAAAGAGACUGAAGAAGAUCGCUUACCCGAGGUACGUUCACGGAUACCGGACGUCCGUCAAAGUUGUGAAAUUUCAGCGAAUCCUCUUCUCGUCUCUUUGAUUGUUUUAGCAUCGUAACCUUUGUGUAGUUUUGUUGCCCAUGUUGUGAUUUGCUGAUCUUAUUGUUGUUUGUCAACGUGAGAAAUGGGUUAAGGAUCUAGGUAGACCUUCUUUGAGGUCAGAUUUGCUAUGUUUGCUAGAUCCAGUUGAAGUUUUAGAAGUCUGAAAGGAUUAGGAGCGUUUUUUUUGUGUUGGUCAUUUUUAAAACUUCAUGCGAUACUGAAACAGAUCGGUUGCCUCGCGAUUUCCUUGUUUUCUCUCUUCGUCUUUAGACUAGGAAUGGGGCGUGUUUAAGAAGGAGAAAGUUUUUUUUUCAGAAGAACAAAGGGUCAUUUUAAGAGAGAGGGAGACGGCUGGGCUAAUAAUGCUCACUGUGGCAUUCCCUUAGUUAUUAUUAUUAUUAUUCAUAGUAAAUGAUGAUGAUAAGUGCAUAUUAACCCACUU
Molecule: long non-coding RNA, 732 nt
Filed under: Lathyrus oleraceus (garden pea)
Lineage: Eukaryota; Viridiplantae; Streptophyta; Magnoliopsida; Fabales; Fabaceae
Description: Pisum sativum (pea) long non-coding RNA (PSAT_LNC037009)
Source: RNAcentral